Salvia miltiorrhiza (redroot sage) is the source of this 1863-nucleotide long non-coding RNA. RefSeq lists it as uncharacterized. NCBI's taxonomy places the organism in Eukaryota, Viridiplantae, Streptophyta, Magnoliopsida, Lamiales, Lamiaceae. The record is from RefSeq and is a predicted model, not a curated record. The transcript has 2 exons.
UUUCUGUAUGCAACUUCUUAACAGAUUAGUAGCCGUAAUUUAGACCGUGUACGGAAGUUAAAGAGUCAAAUGACAAGGUUGACUGCUCGUGUGCAAAAGGUGCGAGACGAGCUGGAACAGCUUUUGGAUGACGACGAUGAUAUGGCGGACCUUUACUUAUCCAGGAAGUUGGCUGGUGCAUCACCUGUGAGUGGCUCGGGUGUGUAAAUGUCACAGCUUUUGGAUUUCGCCGCACCGCGGUUAAAUUUGGAGAUGGAAUAUUGCAUUUUUUAAUUGGGCGGAGGGAUAAUAUUCUUAUAUUAUGAAGUUUCGCUUUUUAUGAUGUUUAAUCCUCAAAAACAUUAUAUAUUGUCCAUAGAGGGUUUACUUUGUGAGCCUUAUGGCUAAUUUGCUGUAUCGGCUAGAUAAAUAAUUGUUUUUUGCUCGGAUCUUAAUAAGGGUUAGUUAGAUUGGAUGAGAGAUUUAAUAUCUUCUGUGAAGCCUUUGUAUGGGCAAAUCAUUUUUUUUCUGGUAUUUGAUUUCAUUAAGUAAAAUACUUUCCAUGAAUUGCCAGCUUUCUGAUUUAAAAAGGCUUGAAUAACUCUACACGGAAAUGAAGUGAUAUUCUGAUCUUAUGUGCCAUCAUACACCCACCAAUGGUGGUCGCUGAUAUACUCUGAUUAAUUGCGCUUCACUUUUGAACUUUAUGAUUUGAUAGCAGAUGAUGUGGUUAGCAACUUAGCACCAAUUGCAUAGUAGUUUCUUCAAGCCAGGUUAGUCGAAUAAUUCUGGUUGUAUUUUGUUUGGAGUCACUGGAAAGUUGUUGAGUUACUUUUUAAAUUGUUAACUGAAUGCAUUUGUAUGUACAUAACUGUGAAUUCUUAGCUGAGUUAGAUGUCGAAAGAGCUAUUGUGUUGUGAUUACCUCCAUAUAUUGUAUUUUUGAAUUGCUGAAUAUACUAUAUAGAAGAUUGUGUUAUGACCUAUAAUAGCGUGUGCAAGUAAAAUAUGAUGAAAACCAUGAUGAGGAAAUAAUACCUUCAUUCUAAAAAAAAUUAUAGAAUGUAACUUGACACAUUAGUUUUAUAAGAAAUAGGACUUUAUAGUGUUGCUCUGCUCAGGUGGUGAAGCUACCAUUCCUUAAAGGGUGGGGGCUCUUGCUAUCUUUGCUUGCGAGUCAUUUACGAUGAUGCCAGCUAUUGUGUUAUAUUUAGAGUAUUUAGAUACUAUUUAGUCUAUAUAAAACAAGGAGGUACAUGACCAUGUGGCUAUGUAAAAUGGAAGUAGAUACUACUGGGUUCGUUUAUUUGUUUCUCCUCAAGGCAACAUCAUCAUUUUCUAGAUAGAGACCCGAUGAAGUUUCUCAUAUCUGCCAUUUCAUUAUUUUCCAUGUUCCCAUUUGAACCCACUUUGCAUUGCACUGGAAGUUAAAUAUGUCAGGGAAAUGCUUGUAUGUCAAGAAUGAAACCACCGGAGACAAACUCACUUUGUGCGGCUAAGCUCUUCGUGUUCUCAAAUGGGAAACAAAAGUUUCUGGAAGCGCAUUGUUUGGAGCAGCAGUGAUCAGAUGAUUUGGAGCAUCAAAUUUCUGUUAUCAACAGUAAGGCGGUCAAUAGGCAGCUUAAGUCCUUGUACAGUGUCCCACCACCAAAGCAGCAGCAGCCGGCCAAGCGACCGACGACCACGUGAAACUGAGAUUAGCUUUCUUUUUAUUUUCAAGAAUUUGAUCAAACAAGUUUAAAGUUCCUCAAAAUAACUGAGAAAUGAAAAAGUAAUGAAUACUUGUGUUGCAUGAUCCGAUUAUUAUUACACAUUGUUUUCUGGUUAUUUGUGUAAUAAUACUUGAUUCAUUUGACUAUAUUAGUUCAAUUUUCUUUUUGUGGAA